RNAcentral lists this long non-coding RNA (1428 nucleotides) under Capsicum annuum. RNAcentral describes it as "long non-coding RNA (CANN_LNC001214)". Lineage: Eukaryota; Viridiplantae; Streptophyta; Magnoliopsida; Solanales; Solanaceae. The record is from RNAcentral.
AUACUAAUGAUUUAUCUAUAUUUCUAUCUGUUACCGCUACUGAAUAAUUUGCACUUAUUAUAAAUUUAAAUUUUUGGUAUAUUAGAUUUCCUUUUACGGCAGUUAUUAUGCUUUUUUCUAUAGGUUUUAUAAUUCUAUCGUCUGCUAAAUAUAAUUCUAUUGGUGUAUCUAUUCCUUCUCUAAAACAUGCUUUUAUUAAUAUCUCUGUACCUCCAAGGUGUACAUAUUUUAUUGGAUCUCCUUUACUUUUUAUAUCAUUUAUUUCUUUAUUAAUUAUUCUUUUUGUUACCAGUGGUAUACUAGCUUUUCCUUUUGCAUAUCUGCAAUCUAUUACAUGUUCUUUUUGGCAUACUACAUAAUAUUCAUCUUUUUUCCUAGUAAAAAUAUUUUUUAUUGUUGGUAUUUUAAAUAUUUUAUCUACACUUAAAUCUAAUUCUUUUCCUUUUAUUUCAUCAAAUAUAUUACUGUCAAAUAUUAUUUUUUGUUCCGUUCCUUCAUCAUUUAAAUAUUCUUCCUUUGUUAUUAUUUUUAUAUCUUCUUCAGUCAUUUGAUUCAUCUAUUUCGCUAUCUAGUUCAUUAUCUGUUUCAUUUUCUGAAAUUUCAUAUAUACUAUCUUCACUUUCUAAUUCAUAAUCUAUAUAAUCUAUCUGCAUGUAUUCGGUAUUUUCUAUUUUUAUUUCUGAUAUUUGUUUAUUUUUUGGAUUUUUAGGUAAUUUACAAUCUCUAGCUAAAUGUCCUAACUUUCCACAAUUAUAACAAGUACAUUCUUUUAUAGAUUUCUUUUUUCUAUAUGGUCUUUUAUGUUUAUAAUUUUUUACAUAGUAUCUUUUUCUUGGUUUUUUAUAUUUAUAUUUUGAUUUUUUAUAUUUCUUAUAUUUCUUAUGUCUUUUUCUUUUCUUAUAAUAUCUUUCUUCGCAUCCAAAUUGGGGUGCUAUUUUAUUUUUGCAACAAGCUAAAUUUCUUAUUAAUGUUUUUUCCAUUUUUAAUUCUUCUCUAUAUUUUUCACAUAAGUUUCUAUACCAUUGUUGUAAAUAUUUUAUUCUUGCUCCUAACGUAUCUACUAUUUUUGCUUCUUCCCAACUUUUUAUUAUUUUCGAACUAAAUGGCUCGGGUAAUUUAUUAAAAUAUAAUUUUCUUAUUUCUUUACUUUCUUCUAUACUAUAUGCUCCUUUGUAAUAAUAUUCUUUAAAUGCGCAAGUAUAUUCAUCUAUAUAACACAUAUUACAUAUUGCUAAUUUUAACAUUAAAUUUCUAUUUGUAUCUUUUUCUUCAUUUUGUUCUUCUUCGAUUGUUGUCGUACUACCAAAUUCAUCUUUUAUAGCUGUUUCAUAUUUUUUUAAUAAUUCUAUAGGUGUUAGUUUAGUUGUUGUCGAUGAUGUUCCUUCUAUAGGUUUAUUAGUUCUUAAUACUUUUUUGCUAUUUUCGGUU